RNAcentral lists this long non-coding RNA (481 nucleotides) under Nicotiana benthamiana. RNAcentral describes it as "long non-coding RNA (NBEN_LNC006534)". The record is from RNAcentral. Lineage: Eukaryota; Viridiplantae; Streptophyta; Magnoliopsida; Solanales; Solanaceae.
UUAGAUUAGAAUGGAAUUUUCGAAAAACAAAGUCGUAUUAAACUUAGAGGCAUCAUAACCUUAAAGGAAAUCAAUAAUGACACAAGAGACCGCUCAAAAUAUGCAAUAAUUGUUCCAUCUGAAUAUAUUCUCAUUAUUUGAAGAGUAUUUAAAAUUCAAAAAAAUAGUGCUUCCAUAUUUUGUCUUCAACUUCUAUCUACUUUUGUGUAUGAGUUUUCAAAGCUCAUCGGAGCAGGUCCUCACGACUCAACAAGGGACUGGCAGUUAGGGUUCCGUUUUUCUCUAAAGAGGUGAAAGACAAAGAGAACUUAUCCGAGAUGGAGAGGAACCUGAGUACCGACGAUGGCUGCUUGGAUUUCCGAUGACGAUGACGAUGGCCACUUGGAAGAGUGUCGACGACGAUGGUGAAGCCCUGUGAUUAGCGGCAGAAGCAAUGAGACAGAGAACGAAAGAGAAAGGAAAAUGGCUACGUUAGGCCUUU